AGAAGGCCUCUGGGCUGUAAACCUCUUUUCUCAAGGAAGAAGAUAUGACGGUACUUGAGGAAUAAGCCUCGGCUAAUUCCGUGCCAGCAGCCGCGGUAAUACGGGAGUGGCAAGCGUUAUCCGGAAUUAUUGGGCGUAAAGCGUCCGCAGGCGGCUUUUCAAGUCUGCUGUUAAAGCGUGGAGCUUAACUCCAUCAUGGCAGUGGAGACUGAGAGGCUUGAGUAUGGUAGGGGCAGAGGGAAUUCCCCCCNGUAGCGGUGAAAUGCGUAGAUAUUGGGAAGAACACCAGUGCCGAAGGCGCUA
Molecule: ribosomal RNA, 303 nt
Filed under: uncultured cyanobacterium
Lineage: Bacteria; Bacillati; Cyanobacteriota
Description: bacterial SSU rRNA
Rfam family: Bacterial small subunit ribosomal RNA
Source: RNAcentral